RNAcentral lists this ribosomal RNA (292 nucleotides) under uncultured bacterium. RNAcentral describes it as "partial 16S ribosomal RNA". It matches the Rfam family "Bacterial small subunit ribosomal RNA", at positions 505 to 796 of the family's 1533-position model. The record is from RNAcentral.
GUGCCAGCAGCCGCGGUAAGACGGAGGGUGCUAGCGUUGUUCGGAAUUACUGGGCGUAAAGGGCGCGUAGGCGGCUACGGCAGUCGGGUGUGAAAGCCCGGGGCUCAACCCCGGAACGGCAUCCGAUACUCUGUGGCUAGAGACCGGAAGAGGUGGGUGGAAUACCCAGUGUAGAGGUGAAAUUCGUAGAUAUUGGGUGGAACACCGGUGGCGAAAGCGGCUCACUGGUCCGGUUCUGACGCUGAGGCGCGAAAGCGUGGGGAGCAAACAGGAUUAGAUACCCUGGUAGUCC